RNAcentral lists this ribosomal RNA (253 nucleotides) under uncultured bacterium. RNAcentral's name for it is "partial 16S ribosomal RNA". It matches the Rfam family "Bacterial small subunit ribosomal RNA", at positions 524 to 776 of the family's 1533-position model. The record is from RNAcentral.
UACGUAGGGUCCAAGCGUUAUCCGGAAUCACUGGGCGUAAAGCGUGCGUAGGCGGCUUUGUAAGUUAGAGGUGAAAGCCUGGAGCUCAACUCCAGAAUUGCCUUUAAGACUGCAUCGCUUGAAUCCAGGAGAGGUGAGUGGAAUUCCGAGUGUAGAGGUGAAAUUCGUAGAUAUUCGGAAGAACACCAGUGGCGAAGGCGGCUCACUGGACUGGUAUUGACGCUGAGGUGCGAAAGCGUGGGGAGCAAACAGG